UGUCUAGAUUAGAAACUUUUAUGCAAGAAGGAUGUUCAAAGGAAUGUACUUUGAAUGUGAGACUUCACGUCUAUAGAAUUGUCUUGUAACAAUUUCCGAUAGAGUACUUUGUAAUUUCAUUGGCCAAGUCUUGGUGACUUUUGUGCUAUGAUUUUGCAAAAGGAUCGUUGCAUAAAAUGUUAGAAUCUAGCAUAUUCUAGUAGUGGCAAGAACCUUGUGUUCUUACACUAACAGUUAGGAUUAAGGAAUUGUGAAAUAAGCAUCAUUGGAAAGGUUUUCAAUUGAUCUAUUUCACAAAGCAUGGACCAUAUGAAACAAUGUGUGCAUGCUUAGAGCAUAGGACAAUUGUUGUUGUAGUUCAAGUAAUGAGUUGAUUAUCCGAAACAUUAAAUGAUAAAUAAUGAGUGAUCAAUAUGGUGGAUAAAUAGAAGUGUUUUAUUUACUCUCACAAGUUUGGGGCCAUAUAGGAUUAAGUAUUAUUGUCAUGUUUCAAUUUGCAUGUUUUGACUUCCAGAAUAACUAGGUUAUUCAAACAUCCACAGUCGGUCAUACGUUGGGAGUAGGUAUGAAUAAAGACUGUCAUGAAUCUGUCUGUAGAUUGUCUGAAGUGUUUAGACAUAGCACAAGUUUGCUGCAGAGUUCAUGAGUGCUUUGAUAAGAUUAGAGUAUUGGAUUAAACCCACGCUCACUUGGAUCACUUCAUGGUUUUAUCACGAGUGAUUAGUGAGACGAUAAUAUUGUAUAUUCUUGAAACCGAGACAUGUGAGUUGUUAUUUGUUGGUCGGUUGCACAUUGAUAAUAAGUAAACGCACCAGUAACUUGGUGUUAUAAAACUUAUUGUUGUGUGUGAUUCGAUGAGUGAAUGCAAGCGAGCAUAUGAGUCGAAGUUUAUGCAUUCCUUUUACCCAAAGUAGGAUAAAAGCGAGAUCUGUGGGCCUCUCGAUGAUUUGGUGAUGACACCUAAGCGCUUGGCCAAGCCGGGACUAAGUUGAUGUGUUCAAUUGUAGUCUGUUAUCAGUCGUCAUAAAUCGGAAGUCGGGAAACAGUAUAGAGAGAAUGAUUGAAAUUCAUGUCUUUUGUCUAUACGAUAUCUUGAGAAUGGAGGAAUAUAUAAUCCCUUAUCUANNNNNNNNNGGGACUAAGUUGAUGUGUUCAAUUAUAGUCUGUUGUCAGUCAUCAUAAAUCGGAAGUCGGGAAACAGUAUGGAGAGAAUGAUUGAAAUUCAUGUAUUUUGUCUAUAAGAUAUCUUGAAAAUGGAGGAAUAUAUAAUCCCUUAUCUAGAGGACACGCUAUCUGAUAAGAUCAGAGUUGACAGCGGCUUUUGAAAGCUACGAUUGCUGAUCAGGUUCUGAAGUCAUACGGAAAAUAGUUAUUAGACUUAUCCAAGUGGGAGACUGUUGGAUUAGUGUCUAAGUCCAUAACUAUUUUGGUAUGUACUUGACCCGAUUAUGAGCAUGGUCCUUUUGGGUUGCCUUCAUCAUAGCAAUAUGUAGGAUGAAUUAAGGAGAGAGAGGUUUAAAUAUGAUUUAUUAAUAUAUUAUGAGAAUAAUAUAUUAAAGGAGAAAUCAUAUUGUUUAAUUAAUAUUAGUCAAGAAUUAAUUAAGAAUUAAUUUUGUGGCUAAAAGAGAUUAAUUAAAUUUAGGGGCUGGACUGC
This 1654-nucleotide long non-coding RNA is filed under the name Lactuca sativa (garden lettuce). RNAcentral describes it as "long non-coding RNA (LSAT_LNC002093)". The record is from RNAcentral. Lineage: Eukaryota; Viridiplantae; Streptophyta; Magnoliopsida; Asterales; Asteraceae.